This 31-nucleotide non-coding RNA is filed under the name Rattus norvegicus (Norway rat). The record is from RNAcentral. Lineage: Eukaryota; Metazoa; Chordata; Mammalia; Rodentia; Muridae.
UCGAAUCCAGAUUACGCCGCUCUUCUUGCAU